Molecule: ribosomal RNA, 253 nt
Filed under: uncultured bacterium
Lineage: Bacteria
Description: partial 16S ribosomal RNA
Rfam family: Bacterial small subunit ribosomal RNA
Source: RNAcentral
UACGUAGGGGGCAAGCGUUGUCCGGAAUUAUUGGGCGUAAAGAGCGUGUAGGCGGUCCGGUAAGUCAGCUGUGAAAGUCAAGGGCUCAACCCUUGAAAGCCGGUUGAUUCUGUCGGGCUAGAGUCCGGAAGAGGCGAGUGGAAUUCCCGGUGUAGCGGUGAAAUGCGCAGAUAUCGGGAGGAACACCAAUGGCGAAGGCAGCUCGCUGGGACGGUACUGACGCUGAGACGCGAAAGCGUGGGGAGCAAACAGG